Molecule: long non-coding RNA, 938 nt
Organism: Callorhinchus milii (elephant shark)
Lineage: Eukaryota; Metazoa; Chordata; Chondrichthyes; Chimaeriformes; Callorhinchidae
Exons: 2
Source: RefSeq, a predicted model, not a curated record
CGGGCUUUGUUAAACAAGCAGCAAAGCCAGCCCCUCCUGGAGCUGCCCAUGGGCUACAAAGCAAAGGAAAUGACCGAGGAGAUGAUGGUUAAGCGUGCAGAGCGCGCCCGGAAAAGACGCCUCCAGGCAGCCAAGAAGGCGGAAGAAAGCAAAAACCAAACAAUCGAGCGCCUGACGAAAACAAACAAGGCUAAAGUGAAGACGCUGAGAGAGAAACGGACCAAGAGAACCCAUUACCCCAUGAUCAGAUAUUCAAAUAACCUUGGGGGGAUUACUGUUGCUUUUCCACCUGGCUGUUCUGCUCCACUCCCAGGGAUCCCGCGACCUGUCCCCAAACCGAUAACCUGUGGGGUCGAUAGUUGCUCAAAUCUGAAGAAGUACUCUUGUUCCAAAAGUGGGUUACCUCUCUGCAGCAUUGGGUGUUACAAAAAGAAUUUGCUGAACUUGGGUUUGGCUUGACCAGAAGUAAACAAACAAAGAUACAGAGGUAGAGAUACCUAGGAGCCACAUUGAUCCUCGCUGCCACCAGUGCACAGUGCUAUCCAGCAACAUUCACAUUUAUGGAUAGAAUAUGAAGGAAUGAUAAUGCACUCCAAUGGGUUAGAGUUGUUAUGAUAUGAGCUAACAAUCCCCACAAAUGCUCAAGACACCCAUACGGAUAUUGUUCAGUUGAUCCAGAAGGAGGUCCACUUCAAAGAGUGCCAAUGGAGCCCCUUUUUGUUUUUUACAGGUGAUGCAGCCGAGAUUGGCAAGAGUCCUCUUUGAGGAAAGCUCUACAUGAGCACAGCAAGUCAAGACAAGGAUUCAAACUCCAGCUACCCUCGUCUGAAUACAACACUGUACUGUCAGACAGGCACCCAAUGUGUGUACUCUAUUUAUAAUGCUUUUUGAAAAGAUUUAUUUCAUAACAAAUGCAGCAAUAAACUUAUUUAGAAACA